GACGAACGCUAGCGGCAGGCUUAAUACAUGCAAGUCGAGGGGCAGCAUAAGUAGCAAUACUUGAUGGCGACCGGCAAACGGGUGCGGAACACGUACGCAACCUUCCUUUAAGCGGGGAAUAGCCCGGGGAAACCCGGAUUAAUACCCCAUAAUAUAUUGAGAAAGCAUUUUCUUUUUAUUAAAGAUUUAUCACUUAAAGAUGGCGUGCGCCUGAUUAGGUAGUUGGCGGAGUAAUAGCCCACCAAGCCUGCGAUCAGUAACUGGUGUGAGAGCACGACCAGUCACACGGGCACUGAGACACGGGCCCGACUCCUACGGGAGGCAGCAGUAAGGAAUAUUGGUCAAUGGACGCAAGUCUGAACCAGCCAUGCCGCGU
This 376-nucleotide ribosomal RNA is filed under the name uncultured bacterium. RNAcentral describes it as "bacterial SSU rRNA". It matches the Rfam family "Bacterial small subunit ribosomal RNA", at positions 28 to 402 of the family's 1533-position model. The record is from RNAcentral.